AGGGAGGAGACUGCAGAGAAAUGGUAAACAUAUACGCAGGGGAUUUUCUUAGAAUCACACACAUGAUGUACUCCUCCCUUGAGAUGGGCUGGCACUGUUGGAAAGAUGAAGGUGACACAGCAUUAUGGAAAAUGUUAAUUCUAAUUAUCAUCACCAUGUAUCACAUCGUGUGCUUGUGACGCAGAAGUAUUUGUGAUAGUAUUAGUGGUAUUAGUGAUAACAAUCCCAGACACUGUAGAGCAGCUGAGACCGCAUCAGAACAGAAAACCUACUGAAAACUAUUCAUUUAGUGCAACACUCACCUGUAGGAUUGUGUUAAAACGACACAAUUAUUAAUUUAUUUCACACUCCUUCAGAAAAACGGAGGAAACAGUGCCACUCGUGUAGAAAUGGCAUCGACUUGUGGUUUGAGUGUGAUGACGCCGUGGAUUCCCUCUGCAUGUCAGACAUACGUAACAAAAGGCGAGUGACGAAAGGUGUUUGUUUUUCUUUUCGGCGAGUAGGUUAACGGAGUCAUGGUACUCUCUCUAGCGGUCGUCACCAGACGCUGGGCCAGAAAAGGGGGCUGGGACUCUUCUUGGUUCACACUGUGUCAGGGGAUUCCUUCCCACGCUGCUUUUCAUUCACGUGGAAUGUCCACUUAUCAAAGAGUAAUGAAUCACAGCAUGUGAUUUGUUGAACUAAUGUUUGUUGAGCAACAUUGGCAUUUUAAACUAAAUGAUUGAUUUGAUGAUUUAAAAUGGUUUUGUCCGCAUGCGAGAACUCCACAACCUGUGAAUAUACUUUGUCAAGGUUCUGUUUGAGUUUGAAUCAGCUGCGGUGUUUUCGGCAGUGAAUAGGUGUGAUAUCAUGACUAGCAGCCAAGAAAUGCAAACGUGUGAAAUAAACAGGCGACAGACAAUGUUAUUAAAUAGUAAUAACAGUAAUGAGAAAGUAUGAAUAAAAACAAGCCUGACGCAAUAUGCAGUAUGAUAAAUAUGACUGAUAUGAUUAACCAGGAUGAAGUCACUGACGGCCCGUUGAUUUAAAAAUAUAAGUGGAGAAGAAGAAGAAGAUGCAGAGACUGGGUUCAUGCUCUUUGAACCAGCAGUGAAUAAUGAAGCUACGUGUUCAUCUGUAAAUACUUAGAGCAUCUUCAUCUUUUGUCUAUAUGUAUACAUGUAAAUAUACUUCAUACUUUUCUAUAUGAACGCUUAUAUGUGAAAAUGAUGAGUCAGCGUUGAGCCACUUAUGGGAAACUCCUUUAACUUUGCUCUUUUACUCGGUUCGUCUCUUUGCUCUUUAUGAUCUAGUGACUCUGUGUGGUUGCACGGCUGGUUUUUCAAGAUGCUGCCUAUUCCUAGUGAGUGUGUGUGUGUGUGUGUGUGUGUGUGUGUGUGUGCGUGUGUGUGUGUGUGUGUGUGUGUGUGUGUGUGUGUGUGUGUGUGUGUGUGUGUGUGUGUGUGUGUGUGUGUGUGAUGUCUUUUCUGACUGCAUGAACCCUUCAGCCUCUUGUUCCCGUUCAGUUUACCACAAGUGACCACCGGACAAACUGUGAAGUGCCAAGUUAGCAUCACACCAUCAAGUCUUUCUGAACACAGCUAUUCAAAGAAAACAAGUGUUGUGAAAGCAUGAAUGAUUCAUGUUGAGCUGUUGCAAUACCGUAUUUUAGUCAUAUUAAGUCAGUCUGGUCUCUAUCAAUAAAGCAUAUAGUAGCAAACAGACUUUAUUUAGCUCCAUUUCCGAGGCUUUAUUUGCAUUUCGCUUGAGAAGGGAGGGUCUGAGUGUGAACUUCUUCUUCCCUGCUGUUCUGAUGUGACACUGUGUUUUUUAGGUCAGAAUUCUGACGUUGCAUUACAGUAACCUAGGUUUCAUGCUCUAACCGAUGUAAGUCCAGAGCGGGUGAGUCAAAGCACCUCCUACACGUGUCACACUGUCACAUCUGGAGACGCUCCGGGUGCGUGUGCUCCGCUGCCGUUUGCCCUCGGGCCUCACAUGACUCCACUAGCCAGCACUGAGCCGCGCCGCAGCACCGAAACCCGAAGGCUGAUGCACAUCCAGUCCGUCCAGCCCGCUGCUGGAGCGGCUUCAAAGUGUGCCAACGGGCGAUGCUGGCGCUGCAGCUGAACUUGCUGCACGUCUAACACGGAACGUGUCUCCGGCUUCUGCACCACAUAUUCUGGGUUUGCAUAGAUUGUGUCCGUGAAAUGUAUUUGCAACCGUCAUUUUAGAGGAAACCUGUCUGUCUUUACCAUUAGGUUCACCACAUUCCUCUUUCACUUUCACAGCAGUGCGUUUAACCGUGUGUGUUUGUUCGGGCUGACUCUUACAGAGUCUGUCUCUGUUAUUGUUUGUGACUCUUGGGAACAAAUUUGCCGGUCAGUAGGUGUUUCUGUGUCUUGACGUGUGCAUGGGCGUCGCAGCUGUGUGGAAACUGUGAGCCGUUCGGCCCAAGGUGACUACGCUCUCGUGACACUGACCAGCCACCAGUUGAUGCUCCCGUGAUGCUGGGCUGACUGGCGGGCGGAUGGCUUCGCCUUGACCAUUGUCGGCAACAGAGGAGCAGCGUUGCUCAUCUGUUUCAUCAGCGUUUCCUAUGAGACCCCGCCGGACGUCACGUACGCCUUCAGUCGUCCUCCCUGUUCAAACACCACGGCAAAUGUGAGCUGUCCUCCAACUCAGGCCUCAGCCACCUCCCCCUGUUGCAUAUCUCAGCAGCCACUGGUGGAUCUUUCCAUGCAACUGUAAUGACAAGAUGAACAUUUGAAAUGACAGCAAGCGAAUGCCUAAUACAUGUAGUCAAGUGUAAAAUCCCAUUACAAUGCUUAUGCUAAUCAAGCAUCUUUAUGGAAGCCUGAGCCUGCAGAUUCAGUGAUCAAUCCAUUCCAGCAAGGCGCUACUGUACAGAUGACAGGUGGGGACGAUCUGUCAUUUUAUUCUGUGUAUCUUUUUUAAUCUGUGUUUCGGUGCGUCUGCGUAAGCACAAAUGCGUAUGGACAUUCGCAUAUGUGCCUGCGAUGGUGUUAACCGCAGUUAUGUAAGCAUCGCUCAUUGUGACAGCUCAUAGUUUCCCAUGGGGUUAAAACAGCUUUGUGCUGAAUUAGGAAAAGUAAAAAUUAACACUGGUGCAAUUUGAAUGAUGAAUCACAGUUUCGCAGAUUUUUAUUGACAUCCUAAUUCGGUCCCUGCCCUGCUGAUGUGAAACGGAGUCCAGUCAGCACCCUGCUGCUGCCGCUGCACUUUGCAUCUCCUCCCCUGUUGACCCCUGCAACCUCUACUACACAAAGGUCAUCAAGUGAUCCCUUUGUAGAAUAAAUCCAGAGGAUUUGCGCUACUAAAACCAAAUUGGAGACCAGAGAGAUGGUGAAGAAAAGACAACAGAACAAGAGCGUCAUCCUUCCUUCGUUGUGCAACUGAAUUUAAGAGGAAGAACUGAUUAGUAAGUUUAGUAAGUUUUUAUGAAGGUGGUUAAAGCCAUUAUUAUUGUUAUUUCUGUCUUGACAGUUGAAUCAACAGUCACAUGUGUAACAAACUCAAACUCUCAGCCAUUGGUCAUGUGAACUUCCUGUUUUGUUUUUCAUCCACUUCCUGUUGAAGUGUAAAGUUCACGCCGUGAACUGUUAACUGUACUGUAUCAGGUUUUGUUAAAAGGCCAUGAUAUGGUGUAAAAUAUCAGUUUAAAAUAUUGCUGGAGAACAAGAAUCUAGGAACGCUUAUAGUAGAUGAGUCAGAAACCCUUUUAACUUUGCUCAUUAUAAAAACAAUGCUUAUGCUAAUCACGCAUCUUCAUGGAAGCAGGCGAGUCUUCGAAAUCUGGAUCUGGACAUUGAUUCUCAUCCAUCGUGUGUGAUCACAUUCCUCUGGACCUGCAGAUUCAAUGAUCCAUUCAAUCCAUUCCAGCGAGUUGCUACUGUAUAGACGACAUUUGUCAUUUUAUUCUGUGUAUCUUUUUGAAUCUGUGUUUCGUUGCGUCUCUUUAAGCGCACAGAUGCGUAUGGACAUUCGCAUAUGAACCUGCGAUGGUUCCUGCUUUGUGCUGAAUUACGAAAAGGAAAAAAUAACACUUGUGCAAUUUGAAUGAUGAAUCACAGUUUUCACAGAUUUUUAUUGACAUCCGAAUUCGGUUCCUGCCCUACUGCUGAACUGUACUGUAUCAAAUUUUGUUGAAAAGCCAUGUUACGGUGUACUUUGCAAGUUUUAACGGUGUCUGUACUUGAAUGUUUUAAAUACAAUAUUGUAUUUUUAGACAGUUCAGUCUUAUGUGACAUUAUUAUUUGCAAUAUUUAAAAAAAACUUCCCUAUUUUGUAACAACUGGGUCUGGUGUAUUCAGUUAAUAUUUACAGUAUAUUAUUAUUAUAGGUUUAAUUCAUAUAUAUAAGUGAAUAUAAUUUACUAAUCAAUAAAAUAUGAGUUGCAAAAUAUUGCUGGAGAACAAGAAUCUAUGAAUGCUUAGAUGUGAAAAUGAUAAGUCAGAAACUCUUUUAACUUUGCUCUUUGACUCGUUUCGUUUUUUUUCCUGCUCAGUGUACCACAAAUGACCACAGAAAAUUAAAUUAAUUAAAUCAAUUAAA
Long non-coding RNA from Betta splendens (Siamese fighting fish), 4551 nucleotides. RefSeq lists it as uncharacterized. The record is from RefSeq and is a predicted model, not a curated record. The transcript is spliced from 2 exons. Lineage: Eukaryota; Metazoa; Chordata; Actinopteri; Anabantiformes; Osphronemidae.